This 431-nucleotide ribosomal RNA is filed under the name uncultured bacterium. RNAcentral's name for it is "bacterial SSU rRNA". It matches the Rfam family "Bacterial small subunit ribosomal RNA", at positions 354 to 776 of the family's 1533-position model. The record is from RNAcentral.
GUGGGGAAUUUUGGGCAAUGGGCGAAAGCCUGACCCAGCAACGCCGCGUGAGGGAUGAAGGCCCUCGGGUCGUAAACCUCUGUCGGGAGGGAAGAACGACCUCAUGGUUAAUACCCAUGAGGUGUGACGGUACCUCCAAAGGAAGCGCCGGCUAACUCCGUGCCAGCAGCCGCGGUAAUACGGAGGGCGCAAGCGUUGUUCGGAAUUACUGGGCGUAAAGCGCGUGUAGGCGGUUAGGGAAGUCGGAUGUGAAAGCCCCGGGCUCAACCCGGGAAUUGCAUCCGAAACUCCUUGACUAGAGUCCCGGAGAGGAAGGCAGAAUUCCCAGUGUAGGGGUGAAAUCCGUAGAUAUUGGGAGGAAUACCAGUGGCGAAGGCGGCCUUCUGGACGGUGACUGACGCUGAGACGCGAAAGCGUGGGGAGCAAACAGG